CUACGGGAGGCUGCAGUGGGGAAUAUUGCACAAUGGGCGCAAGCCUGAUGCAGCCAUGCCGCGUGUAUGAAGAAGGCCUUCGGGUUGUAAAGUACUUUCAGCGGGGAGGAAGGGAGUAAAGUUAAUACCUUUGCUCAUUGACGUUACCCGCAGAAGAAGCACCGGCUAACUCCGUGCCAGCAGCCGCGGUAAUACGGAGGGUGCAAGCGUUAAUCGGAAUUACUGGGCGUAAAGCGCACGCAGGCGGUUUGUUAAGUCAGAUGUGAAAUCCCCGGGCUCAACCUGGGAACUGCAUCUGAUACUGGCAAGCUUGAGUCUCGUAGAGGGGGGUAGAAUUCCAGGUGUAGCGGUGAAAUGCGUAGAGAUCUGGAGGAACACCGAUGGCGAAGGCAGCCCCCUGGGCCAUGACUGACGCUCAUGCACGAAAGCGUGGGGAGCAAACAGGAUUAGAUACCCGAGUAGUC
RNAcentral lists this ribosomal RNA (464 nucleotides) under uncultured bacterium. Its description in RNAcentral is "partial 16S ribosomal RNA". It matches the Rfam family "Bacterial small subunit ribosomal RNA", at positions 339 to 795 of the family's 1533-position model. The record is from RNAcentral.